Molecule: long non-coding RNA, 234 nt
Filed under: Elaeis guineensis (African oil palm)
Lineage: Eukaryota; Viridiplantae; Streptophyta; Magnoliopsida; Arecales; Arecaceae
Description: long non-coding RNA (EGUI_LNC058995)
Source: RNAcentral
UGUUGAGAUGAGUUGGAAUCAUUUCAGCCCAUCGAAAAGAGUUUCGAUGAUAUUGUGAUGGAGAUCAUGGUAUGUCUCACUAUCAGACAGAAUAGAAUCUGAGGAGUUACACACAAAAAGAUCAUGACCUAAUCAAUGGCUUAGAUCAUAUUCGAAUUAUCAAUCAGAUUGAUAGUUUGAAUUUUACAAACUACUAAUUUGUAAUCGUUACAGUUUUGGCAGCUGCUAAUUAUU